Molecule: long non-coding RNA, 3617 nt
Organism: Rhopalosiphum padi (bird cherry-oat aphid)
Lineage: Eukaryota; Metazoa; Arthropoda; Insecta; Hemiptera; Aphididae
Exons: 5
Source: RefSeq, a predicted model, not a curated record
AUGUAUAGACAUUUUACAAUAUUUUAAUAAUUUAUAUAAAUUGAUAAUUCUGAAAAAAGAGUCGAAGUUCUGGCUUCAUUUUAGUAGUUAUACAGGCAUUAUAGGGAACGGCCCCCUCCAGAUUAUACUCUAUAAUCGUAUAUAAUCUAUAAACCUUGCCUCUAUAUUACUCUAAUACCCUAUGAUCUGUGAUCUGUGGUGAUAUCUCGCUGUUAUUAUUGUUUGGGGUGUUGUUAGACUCACAUUGGCUGAAGGAAAAGUGCAGUGAAGAUUUUCAGAACUUUACCUUUUAUAGUUAAUUCACUACAAAGCUUCAAAAAAAAUUAAAACACAUUUUAUUGGGCGUUUUUUUUAUGUUUUUCAGCUUAAUAGCUUUGUAGUGAGUUAAAAAUUGAAGAUAAAGUUCCUUCUGAAAAUCUUCACAGCACUUCUCCUAGCCAAUGUGAAUCUAAUAAGACCCCAAAUACAAAAUCCGUUCUCCAGUUUCAGUAAUCUACCAUGCUAAAUUAAAAUCUAGCAAAAAAUAACUAUUUUUUUAACUGUGAAAAUUUUUUUUUUUUUUUUAUUAAAAAUAAGUAUAUUUACAAUCUAUACAUAAGUGUAUAAUGAGUAAGUGUGGUGACAGAGUAAAUAAGUAACAUAUAAAAAUAACAAGAGAAGGAAGGCUCCCAGCAGUGCCACCUGACCAGAAAUUAACUGUGAAAAAUUAAAUAAUUUUUUUUUAAAUUUUGAAUCUCACAUUUUGUAUCUACUAGGAAAUUUUAAUGAGCUAUCAGCCAACAGUUUAGGUAUAAUAGUUUUGGAGAGAAGUUAAAAAAUAAAAAUUUUGGGACUAUUCACGCCAACGUUUUUGUGGAUUCAAAUCGUUAUACCACUUGGGUGUGGUAUCGAAUCUCUCUCAUUAAUAUUUUAUAUUUGUUAAAGCUAGCUUAAUUAUCUCCCUACUCAUUACAACUGAGUUACAUUUUUAUCAUUUUCCAAUUUAACACAACUUCUUGAAGUUUUAAAAAUUCUGAAUUUUUUCAUUUCAAUUACCAUACUAAUUACUUGAUUAAAAAUCAAGAAAGUAAAAAUGUUGCAGCUAAUUAUAAUUAUAAUAAUUAUAUUGAAUUUCUACAAUUUACAUAGGAUAAUACAUAAUAAGCAAAUAUUUCCUGGAUUUCGGGAGGGGCAGGGGCUAAAGCUCCCUCAGCGCCAUAGGCGGAUAUUGGGGCAUUUGCAAAAAAAUUUAAUCUGAAAACCAAUUAUUCAAGUCAUAUAAUUCAAGAUGAAUUUACAAAUAUAUCUGCAGAUAUUGUGAAAGUUAUUGAAGAUGUUGAGAUAUUUGGAAUUAUGUGUGAUGAAGCAAGGUGUUACAAACAAGAACAAAUGGCAUUAUGUGUAAGGAAACGAGGAAUGUGUUCAACACUUUAGAAUACCUAUACAUACAUUUUCAAAUCCGUCAAAAAAUCAAAAUUUAAUUGAGAUUCAAACCAAUCUAGGGAUAAAAAAUAUGUCAUUGAUUAGACUCGGUGAUACUAGAUGGAACUGCCGCUAUCGUAAUAUAGAGUAUGCUAAAGCAAGUUAUAAAGCAAUUAUUCAAGCUUUAGAAGAAGAAACCAAUAAUGAAGAUGAUAGAGGAGUAAAUGAAGCAAUUGGAAUAUUAGCAAAUUUAAAAAGUGGACGAUUUAUAAUUUAUUUAUUUAUCUUACAUAAAGUAUUAAUUAAUAUUAAUAUUGUUGCCAUCAAAUUUCAAGAAAAAACUGCAACCUUAGGGCAAUCUAAAAAUAUUAUUCAAGGUGUGAUGAUGACUUUUAAAAAUUUAAGAACAGAAUAUUUUUCUCAGCUUUGGUGUGAAAUAGAAACCUUUGCUUAAGACAAUGACAUAUCAGUACCAAACACCAUCUAAAGGAUGUAUAAGAAAAAGACAGAGAUGACAAUUUUUAAACAUUUUUAUGUCACUGCAACCACAAGUGCUGAACAUAGUAUCGAUGAAACUAAUGAAACCAUUGAAGGUUAUUUUUAAAAAAAUGCAUUCUUUCCUGUAUUUGAUGCUAUCUUGAUAAACCUGGAAAAAAGGUUUUCUCCUGAAAGCCUCCAAAUGGCUACAGCUGUUGAUCAAUUUUGUCAACUUAAGUUUGAGGAAAGUAUUUUUUUUGUAGAUCAUUAUAAAAUAAGUAUUGAUUUAUCAUUUAUAAAAUUAAUUUCUACCUACUUACACUCUAGUUAUCUAUUUUUAAAAGUAAUCCUGUAUUUUAUAUAUUUUUCAGGAUUUGAUGUGUGUAUCUAAAGAUGUAUUGAAGUCAGAAAUGGCAGUGGUAAAGAAUUGUUUAAUGCAAUCUACUGACAAAGAAUAUAUAACUUUAAAUGAUAUAAAAAAGAUUUUAACAAAAAAUGUUUUUCCUAAUUUAUAUAAAUUAUUUCAAAUUGCUAUGACAAUACCAAUAAGUUCCUCAACUUGUGAGAGGAGUUUUUCGGCAAUGUCCAUAUGUAAUAGAUAUGGUAUUAUCACAGUAUUAUAGUAGAAAAUAAUAGGUAACAGAUAAUAUGCUGUCAUCCCUAAGUACAAUACAUAUACUAUAAACUUUUCUAUGCAUUCUCUACAAAACAAACAGUAGACAUUUCUUACACCCUUGAACUGCAUAUGCAAUAUGCAUAGUAAAAAUAUGAAAAUGUAUACAAAUCUGGACUAGUUAUUAGUUAUUAGUUUAUUACUAAUAAGUUUAACUGAUAUAACUUUUAACCAAAAUAAUCGAACAUUGUUUAUAUUUAUUAGUGUUAUAAAUAUAAAUAUUGUUUUUUUAAAUGUUUAUUAUCAUCUCAUCUCAUUGAUAGCUGUUUUAGUGUGCAUUACUACAGUUUUAAACCAAUUAACAUUAUACUAUAAUAUAAACAUUUCUAAUUACAUGAUACAUAGGUACAGUGCCGUAACUAGAGGUUGGCGACAUGGGCGCAGUAAAGUAAGGGGCGCAUUUGAGAAUAAAAUUUUUUUUUUUUAUAAAUUAUUUAAAGCCAAGCGUAAAUAUGUAAUCCACAAAAAUUACAUAGGUACUGGAUUGCGCCUUGAUGAUGUUUGUUUAUUAGUGUUUACUACUUAAACAUUUAUAUUAUAUAUUGAUAUAUAUAUAUAAUACAUUUUAUUUUUGCGUGUAUAAAACAUAUAGUCAUAUCGGCACUAAUGACGAACGGCUAUAAUAAUUAUUACCACAAACGACCGCGGCUUUCCCGACUAUUUAAGAUAUGAUGAAUAUGAUCAACGUGAUACAUUCUAAUUCUUUAAAAGAUAUAUAUCCAAACAUAGAAAUAGCCCUAAGAAUUUUUCUUACUCUUCCAGUGACUGUGGCUUCUUGCGAACGAAGUUUUAGCAAAUUAAAAAUUAUAAAAAACUAUCUACGCUCAACGUUAGGACAGGAACAGCUUAUAAAUUUGGGAAUAUCAUCAAUUGAAUUUGAAACAAGCAAUUCAAUCAGCUGUAAUGAUAUAAACGAUUUCGCAGCAAAAAAGGCUAGAAAGCUAAAAUUGUAAUAUUAAUUACAAUGGUUUAUUGUGAUACCGGUCCUAUUUUAAUUAAAUAUUAAAAAAAUAUGGCAGUAUUUUGAUUAACACAUAACUAAAGAAUGUAAUAUUAUUACAUUUAU